RNAcentral lists this small RNA (1115 nucleotides) under Pongo abelii (Sumatran orangutan). RNAcentral's name for it is "retained intron". Lineage: Eukaryota; Metazoa; Chordata; Mammalia; Primates; Hominidae. The record is from RNAcentral.
AGUGAACCGGGAGGUACUACCAGGUAAGGAAGGUGCGGUGGCCCCAGCCGUGGGUGAGAGGAGCUCCGCUCUGACACCCCCGCUCCUGUAGGUCGCCGCCGUUGCUCCGCUCGCUCAGAGAGAGCAUGGCCCUGAGAGGCGUCUCUGUGCGGCUGCUGAGCCGCGGACCCGGCCUGCAUGUCCUUCGCACGUGGGUCUCGUCGGCUGCGCAGACCGAGAAAGGCGGGAGGACACAGGGCCAACUGGCCAAGUGUAAGGACCUCUGGUCGCGCCGUGUGUCUGCUGCCCCUGUUCAGCUGUCUGUCUGCUCCAGGUGGACUCUGUCCCGGAAUCCGAGGGCUGCCCGGGCGGGGUGGCAGGGUCGUGGCCAGGGUCAGAGGCACUAAGGCAGUGAGUGCGCUGUGCCUGCGGGGCCGGAGAAAGGUCACCUGGUCAGUCUCGCUUGCAGCUCGCAGUAGCCGGGGGGCGACAUGGGUGUUGGGGGGGCAGGGCUGAUGAGGGUCUGAGAAGAGAGGGCACAGGGAUCUUGCGGACUGGACCGAGGCGAAUUCCCCUUCCCAGCCUCGCGUCCCCAGUUUGACUGGCAGGACCCGCUGGUGCUGGAGGAGCAGCUGACCACAGAUGAGAUCCUCAUCAGGGACACCUUCCGCACCUACUGCCAGGAGAAACUCAUGCCUCGCAUCCUGUUGGCCAAUCGCAACGAAGUUUUUCAUCGGGAGAUCAUUUCGGAGAUGGGGGAGUUGGGUGUGCUGGGCCCCACCAUCAAAGGAUAUGGCUGUGCUGGGGUUUCGUCUGUGGCGUAUGGGCUCCUGGCCCGAGAGCUGGAGCGGGUGGACAGUGGCUACAGGUCGGCGAUGAGUGUCCAGUCCUCCCUCGUCAUGCACCCUAUCUAUGCCUAUGGCAGCGAGGAACAGCGGCAGAAGUACCUGCCCCGGCUGGGUGAGUGGCUGCCCAUGGGGCCUGGUGGAAGGAAGACAGUCUCUGAGGUCUGGAACUCAAGGGUGGGGCUGUCCCCUGAGCCUAUUCUGUCCCUAUCUCAAAGAUAGCAUAAGUGGCCACCCCCUGCCAGACCCUGGGCUUCACCUGGAGAUCUGAUCCCUGGCCAGCGUGAUUGU